This 497-nucleotide ribosomal RNA is filed under the name uncultured bacterium. RNAcentral's name for it is "partial 16S ribosomal RNA". It matches the Rfam family "Bacterial small subunit ribosomal RNA", at positions 28 to 507 of the family's 1533-position model. The record is from RNAcentral.
GAUGAACGCUGGCGGCGUGCCUAAUACAUGCAAGUCGAGCGAACAGACGAGGAGCUUGCUCCUCUGACGUUAGCGGCGGACGGGUGAGUAACACGUGGAUAACCUACCUAUAAGACUGGGAUAACUUCGGGAAACCGGAGCUAAUACCGGAUAAUAUAUUGAACCGCAUGGUUCAAUAGUGAAAGACGGUUUUGCUGUCACUUAUAGAUGGAUCCGCGCCGCAUUAGCUAGUUGGUAAGGUAGCGGCUUACCAAGGCAACGAUGCGUAGCCGACCUGAGAGGGUGAUCGGCCACACUGGAACUGAGACACGGUCCAGACUCCUACGGGAGGCAGCAGUAGGGAAUCUUCCGCAAUGGGCGAAAGCCUGACGGAGCAACGCCGCGUGAGUGAUGAAGGUCUUCGGAUCGUAAAACUCUGUUAUUAGGGAAGAACAAAUGUGUAAGUAACUAUGCACGUCUUGACGGUACCUAAUCAGAAAGCAACGGCUAACUACGUG